GUGGGUAGUUUGACUGGGGCGGUCUCCUCCUAAAGAGUAACGGAGGAGCACGAAGGUUGGCUAAUCCUGGUCGGACAUCAGGAGGUUAGUGCAAUGGCAUAAGCCAGCUUGACUGCGAGCGUGACGGCGCGAGCAGGUGCGAAAGCAGGUCAUAGUGAUCCGGUGGUUCUGAAUGGAAGGGCCAUCGCUCAACGGAUAAAAGGUACUCCGGGGAUAACAGGCUGAUACCGCCCAAGAGUUCAUAUCGACGGCGGUGUUUGGCACCUCGAUGUCGGCUCAUCACAUCCUGGGGCUGAAGUAGGUCCCAAGGGUAUGGCUGUUCGCCAUUUAAAGUGGUACGCGAGCUGGGUUUAGAACGUCGUGAGACAGUUCGGUCCCUAUCUGCCGUGGGCGCUGGAGAACUGAGGGGGGCUGCUCCUAGUACGAGAGGACCGGAGUGGACGCAUCACUGGUGUUCGGGUUGUCAUGCCAAUGGCACUGCCCGGUAGCUAAAUGCGGAAGAGAUAAGUGCUGAAAGCAUCUAAGCACGAAACUUGCCCCGAGAUGAGUUCUCCCUGAGACUUUAGGUCUCCUGAAGGAACGUUGAAGACGACGACGUUGAUAGGCCGGGU
Molecule: ribosomal RNA, 611 nt
Filed under: Salmonella enterica subsp. enterica serovar Bovismorbificans
Lineage: Bacteria; Pseudomonadati; Pseudomonadota; Gammaproteobacteria; Enterobacterales; Enterobacteriaceae
Also listed under: 1 other name
Description: partial 23S ribosomal RNA
Rfam family: Bacterial large subunit ribosomal RNA
Source: RNAcentral